RNAcentral lists this ribosomal RNA (465 nucleotides) under uncultured bacterium. RNAcentral describes it as "partial 16S ribosomal RNA". It matches the Rfam family "Bacterial small subunit ribosomal RNA", at positions 339 to 795 of the family's 1533-position model. The record is from RNAcentral.
CUACGGGAGGCUGCAGUGGGGAAUAUUGGACAAUGGGGGAAACCCUGAUCCAGCAAUGCCGCGUGUGUGAAGAAGGCCUGCGGGUUGUAAAGCACUUUCGGUUGGGAGGACUGCUUCUAGCACUAAUAUUGUUGGAAGUUGACGUUACCUUCAGAAGAAGCACCGGCUAACUCCGUGCCAGCAGCCACGGUAAUACGGAGGGUGCAAGCGUUAAUCGGAAUUACUGGGCGUAAAGCGCGCGUAGGCGGCUAGAUUAGUCGGGUGUGAAAGCCCCGGGCUUAACCUGGGAACUGCAUCCGAUACUGUCUAGCUUGAGUACAGGAGAGGAGAGUGGAAUUCCACAUGUAGCGGUGAAAUGCGUAGAUAUGUGGAGGAACACCAAUGGCGAAGGCAGCUCUCUGGCCUGAUACUGACGCUGAGGUGCGAAAGCGUGGGGAGCAAACAGGAUUAGAUACCCCGGUAGUC